UUGUUUGAGGCCAUUCGGCUUGUUAUUGUUAAUAACAGAGAGGGACUUUCCCCAAAUAAU
Molecule: transfer RNA, 60 nt
Filed under: Neelus murinus
Lineage: Eukaryota; Metazoa; Arthropoda; Collembola; Neelipleona; Neelidae
Description: tRNA-Asn
Source: RNAcentral